RNAcentral lists this ribosomal RNA (497 nucleotides) under uncultured bacterium. RNAcentral's name for it is "partial 16S ribosomal RNA". It matches the Rfam family "Bacterial small subunit ribosomal RNA", at positions 28 to 507 of the family's 1533-position model. The record is from RNAcentral.
GAUGAACGCUGGCGGCGUGCCUAAUACAUGCAAGUCGAGCGAACAGACGAGGAGCUUGCUCCUCUGACGUUAGCGGCGGACGUGUGAGUAACACGUGGAUAACCUACCUAUAAGACUGGUAUAACUUCGGGAAACCGGCGCUAAUACCGGAUAAUAUAUUGAACCGCAUGGUUCAAUAGUGAAAGACGGUUUUGCUGUCACUUAUAGAUGGAUCCGCGCCGCAUUAGCUAGUUGGUAAGGUAACGGCUUACCAAGGCAACGAUGCGUAGCCGACCUGAGAGGGUGAUCGGCCACACUGGAACUGAGACACGGUCCAGACUCCUACGGGAGGCAGCAGUAGGGAAUCUUACGCAAUGGGCGAAAGCCUGACGGAGCAACGCCGCGUGAGUGAUGAAGGUCUUCGGAUCGUAAAACUCUGUUAUUAGGGAAGAACAAAUGUGUAAGUAACUAUGCACGUCUUGACGGUACCUAAUCAGAAAGCCACGGCUAACUACGUG